UUUGCGAGCCUGGGACCGCCGCGCUGCUGGUGCUGCUGCCGCUGCUGCUGCCGUUGCCGCCGCUGCUGCUGCUGCCGCCGCCACCCCCUGCAGCUGGCGUGACUCUCGGCCCGCGCCGUGCCCUCCCUCUUUUCACUGCCAGCUCGACUUCCCGCCCGCCCAGACGCCGCUUCUUCCAAGCUCCAGAUCUCGGCUCCGCGGAGGGAGAGGAAAUGAGUGCGGCCGCGGCGCCGGCGUCCGAGCGCGGUUGGAAGAGCGAGAAAGUGGACGAGGCUCAGGCCCUGGCGCGGAGUUGCGCUGCCCGCAGACCCGACUUCCAGCCAUGCGACGGGCUCUCCAUCUGUGCCACACACAGCCACGGCAAGUGCUUCAAGCUGCACUGGUGCUGUCACCUAGGAUGGUGUCACUGCAAAUACGUGUAUCAGCCGAUGACCCCCGUGGAACAGCUUCCAAGCACUGAGAUUCCUGCGAAGCCUCGGGAGCCCACAAACACCAUUCAGAUCUCCGUCUCCCUCACUGAACACUUUCUGAAAUUUGCAUCUGUCUUCCAGCCUCCCCUCCCCCCUGACUCACCAAGGUACUGUAUGAUCUCAGACCUCUUUAUUGACAACUAUCAGGUUAAAUGUAUUAAUGGAAAGAUGUGUUAUGUGCAGAAGCAGCCGGCGCCACAUUCCCACAAAAUGAGCCCUGAGGAGGUCUCUGCACACGAUGCCUUAAUUUCAAAAGAGAGCAAUACACCAAAAAUAGAUCACUGCUCUUCUCCCUCAAGUUCUGAGGACUCUGGGAUCAAUGCCAUCGGGGCUCACUAUGUGGAAUCGUGUGAUGAGGACACAGAAGAAGGAGCCGAACUGAGUUCAGAGGAAGAUUACAGUCCGGAGAGCAGCUGGGAACCGGACGAGUGCACCCUCCUGUCCCCCUCGCAGUCUGAUCUGGAAGUGAUUGAAACAAUAGAAACCACCGUGUGAGGGUCCAGGCUGGAAGCCGGGUCCUCUGAUCCAUGCUGAGCUUUUGUACUUUUGUCUGAUGGAUCCUUUUCCACUGCAGUCGGUGUUUUCUACCCUCUCUAGCAACCAUAGCAGUUCAGUGGUCUGCUGAUUUAGCUUCACUUUUAAAUUAGUCUUAUAACUAAGAUAUUCUUUUUCUUAUACAUAGUUUUCUUUUGUAUCUUGACUUUCUUUCUAUGUAGCAUCUGGUGUCAUGAAUUGUGACCCAGCCUUAAUUUCACUGGGAACUUUGAAAGCAGUGAAGCGAUGAUCACAGAGCAUCGUGGAUCAGGUUGAGGAGCUGCCCAGAGUGAAGGAGGCACUAUUUUCUCAGUAGCCAGUUCUUUGCAGAACAGCUCUUUGGCAUUCCUUGUGGCGAGCUGACAGGCACCGCCACCCAACUAGUCCCAUGUGGAGACUGGUUCACGUGACCCCUCGAGGUGUGCACUGGUAGAUGCUGCUCCGUCCCUGUCCCUGUCUCCCCACCGCCCGCACUGGGUUUGGGCCAGUGUGGCCUCAGCUUGCUUCUAGGAGGUCACUGGAGGCCAGCUUGGCCCCUAGUAAUGCACAACCUCUGUGAUCUGGGGCUGAGCUAGACCUCACUUCAGAAGAAAUGACGUCUCUAAUUUCAUGCUCAAUCCAGCAUUAGCUGAGUGCCUGCACUCUUCAGGGUGCUGUGGGGAUGCACAGUGAAUAAGGCCUGCCUCCCAGCAUCCACGGAUCAUAGUCCAGUAGGGACAGUAACCUGUGCAGGUCAUGGGACCCAGAGUGCCCUGGGGACUCAGGGGAGGGAGAGAGGUGCUUGGCUUGGGCUAUCUGGGGAGAGUGGUGUAGCUGGCCUUUGGGGUGGGUUCCCCAAAAUUUUAAAUAAGUUUUGAAAAUUGUUCUUCAAGUCUGGGGAAAACUUUAGGAAGCUAUAUAGGUAUUAUAUUUAGGAGGCAGCCACAUCUAAUGUCUUAAGAAAAAAAUCAAGAAUAGUUUUAGUUAGCAUGGAAAUGCUAAAGACAGCAGUCCUUUAGGGAUUAGGAAUGAAUCUAAUAGGUUUGAUUAAUUCUGCUUCAUUUGGUUGUAUGAAGCAUUAGAAUGGCUUAGGUGAGAUAUGGAUUAGAAUUCAGUAUGAUGCAUGGACUUUUUUUAUGCAAAUGCAAAAGCAGUUGAAAUAGUUCGCUGCUAAAUCAGGAGAAAAUAUUUUGUGUAAUAUUCACUUUAUUACAGUAAUAUCCAUGGUCUGUUGUAUGUUCUCUUUUCCUACACACAUAAAGUAGUGAAUGAUUCUUAUUUAGCUCUCUUCAGAAUCCUGCUCCUGAUAGCCAUUUGUAACAGGUGUUCUUGUGUGAGUCAGUUAGCUGCCGUUUCUCCAAAUGUACUGGCUGUGAAGCAUAGUUAGGAAUCCAGGAAAUUUAAAAUAUGGCCCAAAUGGAACCAGAACUAUCAAAGUGGGAGAGAGAGAACUACUUCUCAUACCCUCACUGUCCACAAGUGUGCGCCCAUGGCAUUUUCUCCUGCUCUGUCAGCAUGUGACACAUCUGUUCUAUGUCAGGGUUUAUGUUUUAAGAAAGAAGAGGCCCGUUCACUGAGGGCUCCGCUUGGCAUCCUUCACCAAUCACUGUAGGCAGAACCUGCUUUCCGAGUUGUAUGUGUAGUUCAGGUGAGCACCUAGAGCAUUUUGUUAGGUUUAGGUGCCCCGAACAUCUGCAGGGUUUGGAGAGCGGAGUGUGUGUGUUCCUUUGAGGACAGGCUGAGUUAACACUUCCUGUGAGGGUGAGAGUACAGCCAGCACGAAGUUCCCACCUCGUAGCACAUGAAGACUCAACAAGUCAAACUGAGAAGGUGGGUGGGUAGCAGAGCUCCAGGGCCAGUGAAGCCCAGGAGAGAUGGCAGAGGUGGGUGUGAGGAGAGGGGUGUAGGGACAGACAGCUGAUGAGCCCAGCCCGGGGCUCUCAGUGCCACCUGCCUGCCUGGGAUUGAGCAGCCAGCUGGAGGCAGCUUGGAAGCUGAGAGCUUGGGAGCAAGGCCAGGGGCCUGUCUAUACCUAGCCCUGUGUGAGCUCAUUGCACCCUCUAUGUGGAAACAUAGAGAGUCUUCUCUUUCUACACCAUUGCCACCAGUUCUCUCCUCUGUCCGUUAAUCUAAUUGGAGUCAACCACCAGAGCUCCAAAGCCAUGGAAUCCAUGGGCACAGGGCCCCGUUUCUGAGGCCAGCUGGGUCAGGGUUGGGCCCUUUAUCAGUGUAAUAUCUGUGACUUUUGCCUAGGUUCCUGUUUUCUAAACUCCUGAACUGCCAUUCAGAUUAACCACAAUUUUAAUGGAAUUUUUGGAUUUGACACUGGUUGAUGAUCACUUUAAAUAUUUGCACAAUCUCUUUAUAAUUGAAAACUCACUAAGCUUCGCUUACUACUAUUUUAUACAAUUGGAGAUGUUCCAUUGGAUUCUAAAUAUCAGAUGUUCCUGGAUCUCAAAAUAGCCUUUUCUAAAUAAGCACAAGCAAGAUUUUUUUUUUUUGUCCUAGCACUGUUAAUAUUAAUAAGUCUCUGAAAAUCAUGUAUGAUUGACCAGAAUUGUUUCCUUAUGCUUGCAUUCCAAGAACAACUGAUAAGGAUAUAAAAAUAUAUAGUUUCAACUUAAAUUCUAGGCCUAUUCUGUUCUAUAUUACAUGAAAGAGUUUCUCGGUAAUCCAUAUAUUAUAUUGCUCCUUUGUAUAAACAUAUUUAUAGGCACUUUAGAGAAUGUUUAGACUGCAGUGUGUAUUAUAGACAUUGAACACAGUCAUGUUAAAUAGGCUUUUGAUUAAUACUUGUACACUGAGAGAUAUGAAAGCUUUAUAAUUUGGAUCAUAUAGUACAUGCUGACUUGGGGCAAAGAGUUGGGCUGUGGGAAUGGAAAACUGCUUUCUUGGGCUUUUGUCAAAAACUGGCACCAUUCCCACUUUUUGAAAGUUGAGAUGAAAGCUGUUAGGGAGAAGAUACAAAGUAAGUGCUGUGUGGAAUUUAGCUUUCUUAUCUGACCAAGAUUUCUUUUAGAAUUUUCAAGUUUCACAUAUGUUCAUGAUUUUUCUGAGAAAUGACAAAGCUUUUAAAAUGCUUUUGUAGUUAUAACUAUUUGGUACAUUAACCAUUGAAACUUUACAGUCAAAUCUAGGUAUUUUCAAGAUUUGAAAUGCAAAUUUGAGGAAAACCCUGAAGAAAAACAGUUGCUUUCCUGGAAGUGGAAGACCUGUGGUUCCAGUUUUCUGAAAUGAAUUGACAUUACCAUUAGAAUCAGACACAAGCCCAGGAAGCUGUUUUGAAGAUGGUGAGCCCAGGACAGUGAGCGCUGGUAGAGCCUGACCUUGCCCAUGAGUUCAGGCAGCAAGGUACCGACCUGCCUGGGGGAGGGAUGAAAGGCCAGACCACAGAGUGUGUGUCCUGGAACCACCUGGCUUCCACAAGGAGUGACCUCAGUCCAACUGGAAGGGCCUUGGGCCAGUGGGUUGGUGAAAGGAGACGAUUUGUUUCUCAUUGUCUUUCUUAGUUUCCAGACCCAAACUGUGUGCAGAUUUGGAGAGGGGAGGUGAGAAAGCUUGGGCUGGGAUGGGACCUUGUAGGCCUCUAUGGCAGGUAGCCUCUCACCUAGUGUACCGUCCAGAUGAUUGAUCCCAGGAAGGAGAUCUGGAGCAUCACUGCAAGAUGGUGACAGAAAGGACCCCGUUGUGGCCCUGGAACCCCCCAGCAUCUGAAGGGGGACUGAGCAAGCAUUUCCCCAGACGUCACCUUACCUCUCAAACCCAGCAACUCUGUGUGGUGGGUGGGGCAGGAUACUUUCAUGAGUUCAUGGCCAAAGCAUCCAAGAGCCAAGUCAACAAUAAACGGAGGUGAGUCGCUAUACACGGCAAGUACACAGCAGGGUCAGAGCCCCAAACCGCAAUUGAUUCCAAAUCCAGCCGGUGUCACCCGCGCGUGUGGAGUCCCUGCACUCACCCCUGCCCCCUCCUGCUUAGUCCUGUUCCCACUGCCUCCCUCGACUCUCUCUCCUCUCAACACCUGAAGCCCCGAGGCUGUCUGCUGCACUCCCAUCCCCCAACCCCCAGGAUAGCCCUGGCUCUAGGUGUGGGCAUCUAGGGACCACAGCCCAGCCCUCCAGGCAUCGCUCAAUGCUGUGCUUGUUGUUAAGUCACUCUGGCUUUCUGCCCAGCCUGGCUUGGCCUUGACCCAGGUCUGGCCUGAGACUCAGAUGAGACUCAGAUGAGACCCAGACACUUUUUAGGCUUGGGGUGGGGAGUGGUAAUGUGUACUGGAUCUAAGAACUCUCUUGGGAAUCAGCCUCAGGUCUUAGUACUUCGGUAUCAGUUGCUGCUGACUCUCCUGUUCCCAGCCCUGCUGAAGUGGGGCCUUUGAUACCGAUCCCUUCCUGUGCUAAGUAGCAGUCAUCACCCACUUGAGGCUGGCUUCCCAGGGCACUGAGUAGACUCUGACGACCCAGCCAUGAACAAGCCCCCCGUGUGGUAGACAGAGGUCUGAGUUUCCGCCUCCAGGUUUAGAAUCUGCCUGUGUGAACUGUGAUGCCAGAAUUUACCAAGCAAAUGUACCCCCAUGUAUCAGCAGAAGGACCUGGAAGAGCCAUCCCAGUGUAUCCACGACACAGGCCAGGGGCCUUUGGGCAGACCCUGUGCUGUGUCGGGAGGGGUGGGCUCACUGAGGCCUGGGUGGGAUCUGCAUAGGGAUCCACAGAUCCUGUUUUUCCUGGGGAUCUAGAGCAAUGAGAGGUGACUCUAGAGGACUUUGGAGCUGCACUGAGUAUGGAGAGGACACCAGGGUUUCCCGAGGAACCCAGGCCCUAGGUGAACAUGAGGGCCUAGACUGGGCAUCUCUGGACAGGUCACUGGGAGGUCAGCACAAGAUCAGUAGGUCCAACUAAAUUCACUUGGGUCCUUUCAGAUUACUGGGGUCCAAAACAGGUCAGUUCUUCCCCAGAGAUUUCUCACCCCAACAUUUCCAAGAGUCACAGGCAGUGAAUUCAUGGAGCUGUAAUGUGUUUCCUGAAUCAAGCAGGAAAUCACGUGGGCCGCAUGUUUUGCCUGGUACAGCCACUCAGAAUGGGAAUGAUGGGAUCGGGAGGGGUCAGCAGAGGGGUGGAUAAAGGGGGAAUGUUGGCUGGAACUCAUGUCAGGUGGGGGUACAGGUGGGAUGAUGGGCCAACAUGUUCGAGAGAAAAAAGCUCAGGUUGUGCAAGCCAUGCCGUUCCCCAAUUUGCUAGGGCCUGGGACAUGGCCUUCCCAGACUCUUAGGACCAAACUCUGCCCUUUGAGGCAGACGUAGCACAGAGUUCUGGGGGAACAGAUGGCAGGUAGGAGUGGGGGCUACUGGCUCCACUCAAUGAUUGAGAAGUGUCCUCGUGUGAGGUGGAGGCCCAAACCCACCAGCAGCCUAACGGCAGGCUCCUGGCUGGGGCAGGAGCCAGAAGCCGGGGCCUGCGCACUGAGAGCUGGGAUGGGACCGUGCAGGGGCCUCUCUGUGCGUCCUACCCAUCCCACCGCUCCCCAAGCUGGAGACAUUGAUUCAUUCACACAGGCAGGCAUGUGUUCAAAAGGUGUUACCUACACCCACCGUCUGACCCUGCCAAAUCUCUCCUAAGUUUGUACCCAACAGAAGUGCAUGCAUAUGUCCACCAAAAGACAGGAAGAAGAAUGGCAUUGGGCCAGUACUGGAAACAACCCAAAUGCCCGUUAACAACAGAAUGGCUAAGUUAUGGUAUAUUCAUACGGUGGAAUAUUACUUAGCAGAGAGAAUGAAUAACAGGGAUAAGUCUACAAACAGAACUGCGGUGAAAGAAGCCACUUCCAAGAGUAAGUAGUGGAUUUUAUUUAUAUGAAGUUCAAAACAGGUGAAAAUCGUGCUUUUAGGAGUCAGGAUGUUGGUUAACUUGCAGGGUGUGUGGGUGGUGAACAGAGUUCAGGGGACUUCAGGGGUAUAGUCAUUUCUAUUUGCUUGAUCUGGGCGCGGGUUACAUAGGUGUGUUCACUUUGUGAAUUAACCCAGCUUUGCACAUGCAGUUUGAGAACAUUUCUGUGUAUAAAAGGUUUACUUUAAAAAGACUUAGAAGAUGCUGGCAGCUGGCUUUUCUCAGCACUGACUGUGCUGUGGGAGACACAGGAGUGCACUGGACAUAGUCAUGCCUUCAGGAGUGAUGCAGACAGACAGGAAAACACCCUAGCACGGAAACAAGGUUUCAGCUGUGCUGCAGCCCGGUGCCCACAAGUCCCGACUGUGCUAGUCCUGGUCCCAAAGGCAGCAGGAGGUGACAGCCCUCGGUGUUGGCCACCAGCUAGAGGAGAUCAGGUGUGACAGGCUUGG
Molecule: RNA transcript, 7311 nt
Organism: Phacochoerus africanus (Common warthog)
Lineage: Eukaryota; Metazoa; Chordata; Mammalia; Artiodactyla; Suidae
Gene: C1H3orf70
Gene name: chromosome 1 C3orf70 homolog
Exons: 4
Source: RefSeq, a predicted model, not a curated record